This 829-nucleotide ribosomal RNA is filed under the name uncultured bacterium. Its description in RNAcentral is "bacterial SSU rRNA". It matches the Rfam family "Bacterial small subunit ribosomal RNA", at positions 8 to 812 of the family's 1533-position model. The record is from RNAcentral.
AGAGUUUGAUCCUGGCUCAGAACGAACGCUGGCGGCGUGCCUAACACAUGCAAGUCGUACGAGAAAAUCCGCUUCGGCGGGUGAGUAAAGUGGCGCACGGGUGAGUAACGCGUGGAUAAUCUGCCUUUAAGCGGGGAAUAACUUACCGAAAGGUGGGCUAAUACCCCAUAAAGCUAUGGAGCUCCGGUUUUCAUAGCCAAAGAGAGCCUCUGCAUGCAAGCCCUCACUUAGAGAUGAGUCCGCGUACCAUUAGCUAGUUGGUGGGGUAAUGGCCUACCAAGGCGACGAUGGUUAGCUGGUCUGAGAGGAUGAUCAGCCACACUGGAACUGAGGCACGGUCCAGACUCCUACGGGAGGCAGCAGUGAGGAAUAUUGCGCAAUGGGGGCAACCCUGACGCAGCAACGCCGCGUGAGUGAGGAAGGUUUUCGGAUCGUAAAGCUCUGUCGGGUGGGAAGAAAUGUAUGGAGGUUAACAGCCUUUGUACUUGACGGUACCGCCAAAGGAAGCACCGGCUAACUCCGUGCCAGCAGCCGCGGUAAUACGGGGGGUGCUAGCGUUGUUCGGAAUCAUUGGGCGUAAAGAGCGUGUAGGCGGCUAGGCAAGUCAGAUGUGAAAUCCCUGGGCUUAACCCAGGACGUGCAUUUGAAACUGCUUGGCUUGAGUAGGGAAGAGGGAAGUGGAAUUCCUGGUGUAGAGGUGAAAUUCGUAGAUAUCAGGAGGAACACCGGUGGCGAAGGCGACUUCCUGGUCCUAUACUGACGCUGAGACGCGAGAGCGUGGGGAGCAAACAGGAUUAGAUACCCUGGUAGUCCACGCCGUAAACGAUGU